Molecule: non-coding RNA, 48 nt
Organism: Nelumbo nucifera (sacred lotus)
Lineage: Eukaryota; Viridiplantae; Streptophyta; Magnoliopsida; Proteales; Nelumbonaceae
Source: Rfam
ACAUAGGCAUUUUUCAAUGCCACAUCAACAUAUAGCAACAGUAAAAAU